GACGAACGCUGGCGGCGUGCUUAACACAUGCAAGUCGAACGGAAAGGCCCUUCUUUUGUGGGGUGCUCGAGUGGCGAACGGGUGAGUAACACGUGAGUAACCUGCCCUUGACUUUGGGAUAACUUCAGGAAACUGGGGCUAAUACCGGAUAGGAGCUCCUGCUGCAUGGUGGGGUUUGGAGAGUUUCGGCGGUUGGGGAUGGACUCGCGGCUUAUCAGCUUGUUGGUGGGGUAGUGGCUUACCAAGGCUUUGACGGGUAGCCGGCCUGAGAGGGUGACCGGCCACAUUGGGACUGAGAUACGGCCCAGACUCCUACGGGAGGCAGCAGUGGGGAAUAUUGCACAAUGGGCGGAAGCCUGAUGCAGCAACGCCGCGUGCGGGAUGACGGCCUUCGGGUUGUAAACCGCUUUCGCCUGUGACGAAGCGUGAGUGACGGUAAUGGGUAAAGAAGCACCGGCUAACUACGUG
Molecule: ribosomal RNA, 468 nt
Filed under: uncultured bacterium
Lineage: Bacteria
Description: partial 16S ribosomal RNA
Rfam family: Bacterial small subunit ribosomal RNA
Source: RNAcentral